UGGUGGGAUAUAAUUGGCUAAAUAAUUAUGUUACAAUAUGUUAGGAUUGGUUAGUUAAAUUUUAGUAAAAUAAUUGGUUACGGUCUAGCUAAGCAAAAUGAAAGUUUUACUGCAACUAUAUAGUAAA
This is a long non-coding RNA of Gopherus evgoodei (Goodes thornscrub tortoise), 127 nucleotides long. RefSeq lists it as uncharacterized. The transcript is spliced from 3 exons. NCBI's taxonomy places the organism in Eukaryota, Metazoa, Chordata, Testudines, Testudinidae. The record is from RefSeq and is a predicted model, not a curated record.